Molecule: transfer RNA, 67 nt
Filed under: Marmota monax (woodchuck)
Lineage: Eukaryota; Metazoa; Chordata; Mammalia; Rodentia; Sciuridae
Description: tRNA.Ala
Source: RNAcentral
GGCUUUUGGCUCAGUGGUAGAGCACUUGCCUUGCAGGUAUGAGACAUGGGUUCAAUUCUCCACACCA